GUUCCUGUAGCUCAGUUGGACAGAGCAACGGCCUUCUAAGCCGUAGGUCGUGGGUUCGAAUCCCGCCGGGAGUA
Molecule: transfer RNA, 74 nt
Filed under: Bacteroides sp. SM23_62_1
Lineage: Bacteria; Pseudomonadati; Bacteroidota; Bacteroidia; Bacteroidales; Bacteroidaceae
Description: tRNA-Arg
Rfam family: tRNA
About the family: Transfer RNA (tRNA) molecules are approximately 80 nucleotides in length. Their secondary structure includes four short double-helical elements and three loops (D, anti-codon, and T loops). Further hydrogen bonds mediate the characteristic L-shaped molecular structure. tRNAs have two regions of fundamental functional importance: the anti-codon, which is responsible for specific mRNA codon recognition, and the 3' end, to which the tRNAs corresponding amino acid is attached (by aminoacyl-tRNA synthetases). tRNAs cope with the degeneracy of the genetic code in two manners: having more than one tRNA (with a specific anti-codon) for a particular amino acid; and 'wobble' base-pairing, i.e. permitting non-standard base-pairing at the 3rd anti-codon position.
Source: RNAcentral